RNAcentral lists this ribosomal RNA (475 nucleotides) under uncultured organism. RNAcentral describes it as "partial 16S ribosomal RNA". It matches the Rfam family "Bacterial small subunit ribosomal RNA", at positions 333 to 799 of the family's 1533-position model. The record is from RNAcentral.
ACACUCCUGCGGGAGGCAGCAGUGGGGAAUUUUGGACAAUGGGCGAAAGCCUGAUCCAGCCAUGCCGCGUGCAGGAUGAAGGCCUUCGGGUUGUAAACUGCUUUUGUACGGAACGAAACGGCCUUUUCUAAUAAAGAGGGCUAAUGACGGUACCGUAAGAAUAAGCACCGGCUAACUACGUGCCAGCAGCCGCGGUAAUACGUAGGGUGCAAGCGUUAAUCGGAAUUACUGGGCGUAAAGCGUGCGCAGGCGGUUAUGUAAGACAGUUGUGAAAUCCCCGGGCUCAACCUGGGAACUGCAUGUGUGACUGCAUAGCUAGAGUACGGUAGAGGGGGAUGGAAUUCCGCGUGUAGCAGUGAAAUGCGUAGAUAUGCGGAGGAACACCGAUGGCGAAGGCAAUCCCCUGGACCUGUACUGACGCUCAUGCACGAAAGCGUGGGGAGCAAACAGGAUUAGAAACCCCUGUAGUCCCAUG